CCGCAUUCCUCGGUGUAGGGGACAGGAUUGGCUUUCUGGCCCUCAUGGAAGUGCCUGGUCUCCUCUCCAGGCCCUCACCUGCCCUUCCUGCAGCCGGGGUCUAGCCGGGGUGUCACUUCCUCCAAAGAACCAUCCUGAUGCUUCCUCCAAAUCUGGGUUCAGAGUCCUCCUCCCCGCAUCCCAGACUUGGGAUUUUCCCUUACUGGAGCACCUUCUGCUGAGCGACAGCCCAUCCUCAUCCGUAUCCCACACUUCAACAGGGCUUAGACUCUCUGGC
Bos taurus (domestic cattle) is the source of this 277-nucleotide long non-coding RNA. Lineage: Eukaryota; Metazoa; Chordata; Mammalia; Artiodactyla; Bovidae. The record is from Ensembl.